UUAAGUCCCAAGGCCGAUCAGGCCAUAUGAUGACUCAUCAGUUCCAAGUCAUGUGAGGAAGAUUGGUUGAUUGACUUAGGAUUUAAUGAGCUUUGUCAGUCCAGAAGAUGGACUUGGUACAAUCGCCUAUAAGGCAAAAGGAUUUUGGAUUGUGCAUGAGCCGAGAAAGGCCAGAUGCAAACCCUUAUCCUUUAAAAGACAUCUCAAAGGUUACUUAUGUCUGUGGGGAAUGGAACGUCAGAAUCGUAUGGACUGGUUUGGGUUUAGGAUUGACCUUUAAGCUAAUUGGUAGUUGAGUAAACUGACCAAGGCUAAGGUGAUUCGACCAGAAAAGUGUUAGAUUGGUUUUAGACCAAUGGUUAACUAGAGAAUAAUCCGCUGCAUAUCUGUUGAAAGGAUCUAAGCUAUUAAUGACUAGGAAAGUCUUUAGCUAAGAUAUAAGUUAGCCGUCGCGUUUAGGUGAUAUUAUAAAUAAAGGGCAAAAAUUAAGAGGUUCGGCCAGGAAG
This 506-nucleotide long non-coding RNA is filed under the name Brassica napus (rape). RNAcentral describes it as "long non-coding RNA (BNAP_LNC000779)". The record is from RNAcentral. Lineage: Eukaryota; Viridiplantae; Streptophyta; Magnoliopsida; Brassicales; Brassicaceae.